UCGAUCGCAAUGAGAAAGAAGAGUAAAUUAUCGAUAGCCUUCAGCGAGUCUCGGUAGGUGGAAGGAGACAGGUUCAACUUUAAUUGAAAAUCACUUUCGAGCUUAAGUCUUAAGAGAUAAUAGUAAGACUUAAUGGUAGCACCCAUUAUAGUGCUAGCGUAUCGCCCAUGUAGUCCCGGGCCGUACGUAUAAGGUAUUGUCAGCAAUGAUAAUACGAAGAUAGGGUGGUACCACGCUCGAGCGUCCCUUAA
This 251-nucleotide non-coding RNA is filed under the name Lactobacillus amylolyticus. RNAcentral describes it as "T-box sequence". It matches the Rfam family "T-box leader". From Rfam's summary of the family: Uncharged tRNA acts as the effector for transcription antitermination of genes in the T-box leader family. T-boxes are found upstream of many aminoacyl-tRNA synthetase genes and some amino acid biosynthetic genes usually in Gram-positive bacteria. The anticodon of a specific tRNA base pairs to a specifier sequence within the T-box motif, and the NCCA acceptor tail of the tRNA base pairs to a conserved bulge in the T-box antiterminator hairpin. The record is from RNAcentral. Lineage: Bacteria; Bacillati; Bacillota; Bacilli; Lactobacillales; Lactobacillaceae.